This is a long non-coding RNA of Cygnus olor (mute swan), 1101 nucleotides long. RefSeq lists it as uncharacterized. The record is from RefSeq and is a predicted model, not a curated record. The transcript is spliced from 3 exons. Lineage: Eukaryota; Metazoa; Chordata; Aves; Anseriformes; Anatidae.
UCAACUGGCUAGCAAUGCUGUUUGCUGUUCUUGAUGCACCCCAGAAUAUGGUUGGCCCUUUUGGUUGACAGGACACAUUGAUGACUCAUAAUCAACUUUCCAUUGACUAACUCCUACCCACCCCACCCCACCAGCCUGGACCCUUUCAAUGAGCGGCUCUCCAGCCUCUUGUCCCCCAGCGAGAUACCUAUGUGUGCAUGUUUAAAUCCAAUGAAGGAGAAGCAGAGGAAGAAAUUUGUUUGUAAAUCUCAUUAAUUCAGUGAUUGGCACAAAGACACUUUUAUACACAUGCUGAAGCAAAACAUUGUGCUCUUACAUAAGGCCAGAAUGGGUGAGAUGAUAUUUGGUACGCAGAAUGUUAAGUUCAUUUUGGUAAGGAAGCCCCGACCUGGACCUGAAAUCCCAGAUGAGUUUCACCAGGACUGAGCAGAGAGGAAGAACCACAUCCCUUGACCACCUGUCAGCGCUCUGCCUAAUGCAGUCAUUGAUCUUCUUUGCCAAUGCACAUCCUCAGCUUAGUGCUUGCCAGGAUCCCCCAGACCUGUCCUGCCAAGUUGCUUUCCAGCUGGUCAUUCCCCUGUGUGGGUUUAUUCCUCCCCAGGGGCACUACUUGGCAUUUUCCUUUCAAUAAAACAUAUUGCUGCUUCUCUCUUACGAGUGAAAUGCACUAUUCCUUCUGUGACACUGGUCUAUCAACCAUUCCUUCCCAAUUUGCAUCUUCUGUCCCAUUAUCCAAGACUUUAAUGAAGAUGUUAAACAGCAUGAGCCUCUGGGGUUCUGCACUAGAGACAGGUCUCCAGCUGGACCUUGUACCACUCAUCACAGUCCUGUGAGCAUGGCACUUCUGUCAAUUUCAGUCCACCCGCCUGUCUGUUUAUCUAUCCCUUAUUUCAUUACUUUGCCUAUCAGAAUGUUACUGGAGCAGUGUCAAAAAUCUUACUAAAAUCAAUGUAAACAGCAUCUGCUGCUCUCCCCUCAUCCACCAAAUCAGUCAUCUUAUUGUAGACAGCUGUCAGGUUGGUUAGUUCUUGACAGUGUUUAACUAGUAUAUAUACUAUCCAGUAUAUAUGCUAAUUCAGCUCAUGGAAAGUAGUAAUAAAA